This 218-nucleotide ribosomal RNA is filed under the name Synchroma pusillum. RNAcentral describes it as "partial Bacterial small subunit ribosomal RNA". It matches the Rfam family "Bacterial small subunit ribosomal RNA", at positions 43 to 299 of the family's 1533-position model. The record is from RNAcentral. Lineage: Eukaryota; Synchromophyceae; Synchromales; Synchromaceae.
CAGGCUUAACACAUGCAAGUCGAACGAUAUAGUGGCAGACGGGUGAGUAACGCGUGGAAACGUGCCUUUCACUACGGAAUAGCUUUUGGAAACGAAAGGUAAUACCGUAUACGCCCUCCGGGGGAAAGAUUUAUCGGUGAAAGAUCGGUCCGCGUUAGAUUAGCUAGUUGGUGAGGUAAGAGCUCACCAAGGCGACGAUCUAUAGCUGGUCUGAGAGG